UGUAAGCGUAUACCAAAGUUGUUGCAGUUAAAACGCUCGUAGUCGGAAUUUGGCAGUUCCGGAUGUGUGCACGUCGUGUGCGCACUUCGCGGGGAUUGCUUUUGUGGUCUUGCGUAGGAUGAGGCACUUUUAUUAGUGAACGUCCUCACGCAACCACUUUUUACUGUGAGAAAAUCAGAGUGCUCAAAGCAGGCAUUUGCCGUGAAUGUAUUAGCAUGGAAUAAUAGAAUAGGACUUGGUUCUAUUUUGUUGGUUUGUUGGGACUGAGUAAUGAUUAAGAGGGACAGUUGGGGGCAUUUGUAUUUCAGUGCUAGAGGUGAAAUUCUUAGAUUACCGAAAGACAAACUGCUGCGAAAGCGUCUGCCAAGGAUGUUUUCAUUGA
This 382-nucleotide ribosomal RNA is filed under the name uncultured eukaryote. RNAcentral's name for it is "partial 18S ribosomal RNA". It matches the Rfam family "Eukaryotic small subunit ribosomal RNA", at positions 592 to 976 of the family's 1831-position model. The record is from RNAcentral.